RNAcentral lists this ribosomal RNA (341 nucleotides) under Campanulotes bidentatus. RNAcentral's name for it is "partial large subunit ribosomal RNA". The record is from RNAcentral. Lineage: Eukaryota; Metazoa; Arthropoda; Insecta; Psocodea; Philopteridae.
CCUAGGCUCAUACGGGAUGUUUUGAAUUUAAUUGUUUGUAAAAAUGCAGACAUGUGAGAGAGGGACAGAGAAGACCCUAUAGAUCUUAAAAAAGUUUUUAAUUAAAUUUUGAUUGGAAAUUUUUUUUAUUUGGGGAAAAUCCUGAAAUGUAUUAAAACUUCGGUUAAUAAAAAAAUUUAAUAAUUAAUUUUUGAUCCAUUUGUAGAGUGAAAAAAUGAAAAAGUUACCUUAGGGAUAACAGCGAUUAUGGAGGUCACCGGUUCGUAGGUUUCGAACAGAAACUGUCGGAAUCUCUGAUCGAAAUGGGUUCCCGCCCUCGCUUACCUUAGGGAUAACAGCGA